GUAGGUGGCAAGCGUUGUCCGGAAUUAUUGGGCGUAAAGCGCGCGCAGGCGGUUCUUUAAGUCUGAUGUGAAAGCCCACGGCUCAACCGUGGAGGGUCAUUGGAAACUGGAGAACUUGAGUACAGAAGAGGAAAGCGGAAUUCCACGUGUAGCGGUGAAAUGCGUAGAGAUGUGGAGGAACACCAGUGGCGAAGGCGGCUUUCUGGUCUGUAACUGACGCUGAGGCGCGAAAGCGUGGGGAGCAAACAGGGAUUAGAUACCCUGGUAGUCCACGCCGUAAACGAUGAAGUGCUAAGUGUUAGGGGGGUUUCCGCCCCCCUUAGGUGCCUGCAGUUAACGCAUUAAGCACUCCGCCUGGGGGAGUACGGCCCGCAAGGCUG
RNAcentral lists this ribosomal RNA (380 nucleotides) under uncultured organism. Its description in RNAcentral is "partial 16S ribosomal RNA". It matches the Rfam family "Bacterial small subunit ribosomal RNA", at positions 527 to 896 of the family's 1533-position model. The record is from RNAcentral.